This 651-nucleotide ribosomal RNA is filed under the name Triticum aestivum (bread wheat). RNAcentral describes it as "partial small subunit ribosomal RNA". The record is from RNAcentral. Lineage: Eukaryota; Viridiplantae; Streptophyta; Magnoliopsida; Poales; Poaceae.
AUGAAUGAACAAGUUGGGGAUGAACAAAACAUACCCUUCGGUUGGCCAGACCAAUGCAGCGACGGCAACAUCAGACUCGGCAUCGUCCAUGGCCUUCUUCUUGGCGGCUUUCUUGUUGUUCGUCGUGGAAGUAGUCGGAGCAGAGGAGGAUGGAGACGGGGACGGAUCGGGAGCAGUCGCACUGAGAUGCUCCCCAAAACCUUAUCGCCCUUCUCCCAGACAGGAUCUCUGAAAGCACAAGUUAUUGACCAGAGGGAAGGAUACGAGAUCCAGCUCUCCGGCGCGCAACGGCGCCGUACUCCCUCUCGCGGCCACUACGAGCCAGCCACCGGAGUGGCCAGGCCCUCGGCGCUCCGCUGGGUUCCCUACGCCGUGGCGCUGUCCACCGUCCGGGCUCUCCAGGCAGCGACCCACGAGGACCUCCGCCGCCGCGUGCAGCAGCUUUCGCGUGCAAUGAGCUGCACGUUCUUCUGUGACGCUGCGGCCGAUCAGCGCAUGAUGCCGCCAUUCUCGGCUAGCCGUCGGUUCCCUGAAAAUGAGGUGUUCAUCUGUCCCGACCUCGCGCCCCUCAGGGACGCGCUGCUGGCAGUGAACCAGGCGAUGACACAGGUGGCAGCGAAGGAUGCAAGCGAGGAGGCGUGCAGCUGCUAG